AGAGUUUGAUCAUGGCUCAGAAUCAACGCUGGCGGCGCGCUUAACACAUGCAAGUCGCACGAGAAAGGGAGCAAUCCUAAGUAAAGUGGCGCACGGGUGAGUAACACGUGGAUCAUCUACCUUUUAGUGGGGAAUACCUCUGGGAAACCGGAGACAAUACCGCAUAAGCCCGCAAGGGGAAAGCAGCAAUGCGCUGAAAGAGGAGUCCGCGGCCGAUUAGCUAGUUGGCGGGGUAAUGGCCCACCAAGGCGAAGAUCGGUAGCCGGCCUGAGAGGGCACACGGCCACACUGGCACUGAAACACGGGCCAGACUCCUACGGGAGGCAGCAGUGGGGAAUCUUGCACAAUGGACGAAAGUCUGAUGCAGCGACGCCGCGUGAGCGAUGAAGCCCUUCGGGGUGUAAAGCUCUUUCGACGGGAACGAUAAUGACGGUACCCGGAGAAGAAGCUGCGGCUAACUACGUGCCAGCAGCCGCGGUAAUACGUAGGCAGCGAGCGUUGUUCGGAAUUACUGGGCGUAAAGAGUGUGUAGGCGGUGUUCCCAGUCUGUUGUGAAAUCUCCCGGCUUAACUGGGAGGGUGCAGCGGAAACUAGAAUGCUAGAGGGUGGGAGAGGUAAGCGGAAUUCCUGGUGUAGCGGUGAAAUGCGUAGAUAUCAGGAGGAACACCUGUGGUGUAGACAGCUUACUGGACCACUUCUGACGCUGAGACACGAAAGCGUGGGUAGCAAACAGGAUUAGAUACCCUGGUAGUCCACGCCCUAAACG
This 766-nucleotide ribosomal RNA is filed under the name uncultured bacterium. RNAcentral describes it as "bacterial SSU rRNA". It matches the Rfam family "Bacterial small subunit ribosomal RNA", at positions 8 to 808 of the family's 1533-position model. The record is from RNAcentral.